This 465-nucleotide ribosomal RNA is filed under the name Vreelandella stevensii. Its description in RNAcentral is "partial 16S ribosomal RNA". It matches the Rfam family "Bacterial small subunit ribosomal RNA", at positions 338 to 795 of the family's 1533-position model. The record is from RNAcentral. Lineage: Bacteria; Pseudomonadati; Pseudomonadota; Gammaproteobacteria; Oceanospirillales; Halomonadaceae.
CCUACGGGGGGCAGCAGUGGGGAAUAUUGGACAAUGGGGGGAACCCUGAUCCAGCCAUGCCGCGUGUGUGAAGAAGGCCCUCGGGUUGUAAAGCACUUUCAGUGAGGAAGAACGCCUGGUGGUUAAUACCCAUCAGGAAAGACAUCACUCACAGAAGAAGCACCGGCUAACUCCGUGCCAGCAGCCGCGGUAAUACGGAGGGUGCGAGCGUUAAUCGGAAUUACUGGGCGUAAAGCGCGCGUAGGUGGCUUGAUAAGCCGGUUGUGAAAGCCCCGGGCUCAACCUGGGAACGGCAUCCGGAACUGUCAAGCUAGAGUGCAGGAGAGGAAGGUAGAAUUCCCGGUGUAGCGGUGAAAUGCGUAGAGAUCGGGAGGAAUACCAGUGGCGAAGGCGGCCUUCUGGACUGACACUGACACUGAGGUGCGAAAGCGUGGGUAGCAAACAGGAUUAGAAACCCCUGUAGUC